RNAcentral lists this long non-coding RNA (1250 nucleotides) under Medicago truncatula (barrel medic). RNAcentral's name for it is "lncRNA gene16444". Lineage: Eukaryota; Viridiplantae; Streptophyta; Magnoliopsida; Fabales; Fabaceae. The record is from RNAcentral.
CCCUAAUUUUCAUCAGAAUCAACAUUUUUGCAUCAAUCCUCAGAGAUUCGUGUGAAUCUUCAUCACCGGAUUGAAGAUUUUCCUGCAAUUCCAAGUGCGAGCUCACAUUGAAGCAAGCUCAAGCACUGAUCACAGGGUUUCCUCACGUAAAUCUGAGAAACAUUGAAGCAAGCUCAAGCACGUAAUCACAGAGAAGCAGAGAAAGAAUCAGAGAAGAUGAAGAAGAGGAACCGGUAAACCGAUUUAUUUUCGGUCCAAAAAGCAAGCAGAAGGAUCAAAAUCAUCAGGAACAUUCAAACUGAUUUUCCUCCAUUAAAGUUUCAACCAAAACUUCAGGUAAAACUCAUUUCCUCUUUUUCAAAAGUAAUAUCACCGUUAAACCUAAAAAUCACGCAAGCAAAACAGAUCCAAAGGUUCCAGAAUUCAAAGAAAACUAUAACCGUAAACAUCAAAAUCUAGAUCCGUAAGGAUCAACGUUUUGAAAGCGAGAACGAGCGUCAAAGAAGUAAUCAAACGACGAAACGAUGUAGAUCUUUAAAGAUCUAAACGAUCUCGUUCAAAAAUCAAAAAUCAUUUCAAAACCGUAAAAGUUUGUUCCAAGAUCUACGUCGUUUCAAGUCGUAUUUGAAAAAACAAAUGCUGGAUUCGUGUUUAGGGUUAAAGGACGAAUCAGAAUAUGCAAAAAUCUUUAAGUUCUGGAAUUUUUAGGUAACCGGAAGUUCAUAGUCUCGCCGGAGAAGAUGAAGUUUCCGGCGGACCUUCAAGGUCUCCGCCGUCACUUCAUCCUCACCGGCGGUGAAGGUUAGAGAGAGAUGAGAGAAGAGAGAAGAGUUAGAGAGAGAAAGGAUUUUGCAAAAUGAAAAAACCGGAGCUCCUCCCUUUAUAUAGCCAGUGAACCGGACCGGUCCAAUCCGGUCCAUUCCCCUUUGAUUCCUGGCCGUUUGAUCUAGGGUUCCAGGAUCCUGGAUCAAUCGUGUGGUCUCUGUACUUCCCUGCGUUUUGGCUUUGGGCUUUGGGUUUGGGCUUAUUUUUCUGCACAUUUCUUGCUUUUUUCCUGCUAUUUGCACCCUAUCUCUUUGCUAUUUGAACCAAUGUUUUGAUUAAAAAUCUUGAUAAAUUUCCUAGAAAAUCCAUGCUUACUUCUUGACAUUUUCUUGAUGUUUUAUGGUAUUUUUGCACAUUGGAAUUGGCAAAAUUCUUGUAUGAUUAAUCCAUGGCAUUUUAACUCUUUCUUGGAUUAUUUCUUAUGA